This 424-nucleotide ribosomal RNA is filed under the name Verrucomicrobiota bacterium. RNAcentral describes it as "Verrucomicrobia bacterium partial 16S ribosomal RNA". It matches the Rfam family "Bacterial small subunit ribosomal RNA", at positions 355 to 776 of the family's 1533-position model. Lineage: Bacteria; Pseudomonadati; Verrucomicrobiota. The record is from RNAcentral.
UGAGGAAUAUUGGUCAAUGGGCGAGAGCCUGAACCAGCCAAGUAGCGUGCAGGAUGACGGCCCUAUGGGUUGUAAACUGCUUUUAUAUGGGAAUAAAGUGAGGGACGUGUCCCUUAUUGCAUGUACCAUACGAAUAAGGACCGGCUAAUUCCGUGCCAGCAGCCGCGGUAAUACGGAAGGUCCAGGCGUUAUCCGGAUUUAUUGGGUUUAAAGGGAGCGUAGGCUGUUUGUUAAGCGCGUUGUGAAAUGUAAGAGCUCAACUUUUAGAUUGCAGCGCGAACUGGCAGACUUGAGUGCGCACAACGUAGGCGGAAUUCAUGGUGUAGCGGUGAAAUGCUUAGAUAUCAUGACGAACUCCGAUUGCGAAGGCAGCUUACGGGAGCGCAACUGACGCUAAAGCUCGAAGGUGCGGGUAUCGAACAGG